AGCUUUGCCCAGUGGCAAUAUUGUAGCCAAUGAGGUUUAUCCAAGGCGUGAUUAUUGUUAAUUGAAAACUUUUCCCAAUACCCCGCCAUGACGACUUGAAAUAUAGUUGGUAUUGGCAAUUGUUGAUAGUCUACGGAGAC
Molecule: small nuclear RNA, 140 nt
Organism: Nycticebus coucang (slow loris)
Lineage: Eukaryota; Metazoa; Chordata; Mammalia; Primates; Lorisidae
Product: U4 spliceosomal RNA
Exons: 1
Source: RefSeq, a predicted model, not a curated record